This 24-nucleotide non-coding RNA is filed under the name Arabidopsis thaliana (thale cress). The record is from RNAcentral. Lineage: Eukaryota; Viridiplantae; Streptophyta; Magnoliopsida; Brassicales; Brassicaceae.
GAGGCACUUGUCAGGGAUGAGGCA